RNAcentral lists this ribosomal RNA (308 nucleotides) under uncultured bacterium. RNAcentral's name for it is "partial 16S ribosomal RNA". It matches the Rfam family "Bacterial small subunit ribosomal RNA", at positions 505 to 807 of the family's 1533-position model. The record is from RNAcentral.
GAGACAGCAGCCGCCGCGGUAAUACGUAGGUGGCAAGCGUUGUCCGGAAUUAUUGGGCGUAAAGGCCUCGCAGGCGGUUUCUUAAGUCUGAUGUGAAAGCCCCCGGCUCAACCGGGGAGGGUCAUUGGAAACUGGGAAACUUGAGUGCAGAAGAGGAGAGUGGAAUUCCACGUGUAGCGGUGAAAUGCGUAGAGAUGUGGAGGAACACCAGUGGCGAAGGCGACUCUCUGGUCUGUAACUGACGCUGAUGCACGAAAGCUAGGGGAGCAAACAGGAUUAGAUACCCCGGUAGUCCCUGUCUCUUAUAC